UACGUAGGGUGCAAGCGUUACUCGGAAUUACUGGGCGUAAAGCGUGCGCAGGCGGUUUUGUAAGUCUGAUGUGAAAUCCCCGGGCUCAACCUGGGAAUUGCAUUGGAGACUGCAAGGCUAGAAUCUGGCAGAGGGGGGUAGAAUUCCACGUGUAGCAGUGAAAUGCGUAGAGAUGUGGAGGAACACCGAUGGCGAAGGCAGCCCCCUGGGUCAAGAUUGACGCUCAUGCACGAAAGCGUGGGGAGCAAACAGG
This 253-nucleotide ribosomal RNA is filed under the name uncultured bacterium. Its description in RNAcentral is "partial 16S ribosomal RNA". It matches the Rfam family "Bacterial small subunit ribosomal RNA", at positions 524 to 776 of the family's 1533-position model. The record is from RNAcentral.